This 67-nucleotide small RNA is filed under the name Lentibacillus persicus. RNAcentral describes it as "Bacillaceae-1 RNA". It matches the Rfam family "Bacillaceae-1 RNA". The record is from RNAcentral. Lineage: Bacteria; Bacillati; Bacillota; Bacilli; Caryophanales; Bacillaceae.
UUAAGUGGAACAAAGGCUAAGCUCGCCACGUCCUGUGGCAACGCCUUUGUGACCCGCGUCCUGCGGG